UGUAACAAAAGAUUAGUCCUCUUGCUCGGUGAAUACCUGCUGAUCACGGGGCUGGGAGGCUCCAGGAGAAUGAGGGGUUGCGCUUUUAUAAGCCCCACAGAGCAGCCGGCCACCAGGCAGGACCCGCGUGGUGGACAGAUGUGCUGGCUUGAACGUUUUUCUUUGCGUCUUCCUGCUGCGCUCAAGUGGAGUUUCGGGAAACCUUCAGGAUGGCAGUGUCCUUGUUAUGCUUGGAGAGCCGGGCAGCCAGGAAGGAGAAGGGGGAGAGCGCCCCGGGCGGUGGCAAAGGCCACACCCCCGGGGAAGGGAGCCUCGUGGGCCGUGUGGGCCUCUCCCCGCCGACCCGUGCUGUGAACCCACACUCUGCCCUCUCUGCAGCGGUGAGAUGGGCCCCGCGAUUCUGGGGAAAGAAUUUAAAAAAUGAUCAAUAUAAAAAAACAUCAAUUCUGGACAAAAUCCUUCAAAACAUUGGAAAAUCUUCAGGGAGCUCUUCCCAGUAAGUGGAAGAGAAGGGUGAAGCUCCGAGGAGACGCAGAGGACGGUCAGCAAGGCCACCUGCCCCGAGGGAGCUCCCUAAGCAGGAAACUCCAGACUUCGUGAGACCCCACAGCCCCACCCUCAGGAAUAAAGAGCAUAUAUGUGCACAUACUGUUAA
Molecule: long non-coding RNA, 655 nt
Organism: Lynx canadensis (Canada lynx)
Lineage: Eukaryota; Metazoa; Chordata; Mammalia; Carnivora; Felidae
Exons: 3
Source: RefSeq, a predicted model, not a curated record